UCCAUUUUGCAAUGCCAUGCCAUACCCUGUGGACGGCGCUUAAUUGGAGCCAAUUUCCUCCUACAACAGGACAAUGACCCAAAGCACAGCUCCAAAUGAUGCAAGAACUAUUUAGAGAAGAAGCAGUCAGCUGGUAUUCUGUCUAUAAUGGAGUGGCCAGCACAGUCACCGGAUCUCAACCCUAUUGAGUUGUGGGAGCAGCUUGACUGUAUGGUACGUAGGAAGUGCCCAUUUUGCCAAUCCAACUUGUGGGAGGUGCUUCAGGAAGCAUGUUGUGAAAUGUCUUCAGAUUAGCUCAACAAAUUGACAACUAGAAUGCCAAAGGUCUGCAAGGCUGUAAUUGCUGCAAUAGGAGGAUUCUUUGACGAAUGCAAAGUUUGAAGGACAAUUAUUAUUUCAAUUAAAAAUCAUUAUUUAUAACCUUGUCAACGCCUUGACUAUAUUUCCUAUUAAUUUUACAAAUCAUUUCAUGUAUGUUUUCAUGGAAAACAAGGACAUUUCUAUGUUACCCCAAACUUUUGAACGGUAGUGUAUUUGGCAGACUAGGGCACAAUGAUGUAUCAUGAAAUCUGGUGCAGUAUCAUAGGCUCAUGUGCUUGCCAAAUCUCCAGGCUCUUUUGACACACUUGGAAAUGAACAUUAGAUGGUGCCAAGUGACUGUUCUCCUUUUUUUCAUUGUGUAUUGCAGUUCACAGUUGUUUGCCAAACUACCUGAAUAAUUUCACUUUGCAUUUCAGGGAUGACUACAACCACAGGGAUCGAACCAGAAACACUUGGAGGAGAGAUGCCCAGGCAUAGAUGACAAAGAGAUGACUGAGAGCGGUCUCAACUGGUUCGCCGUGGAAGAACUUGCUCCGAACCGAGAGAGAUGGAGAACAAUGGCCUUCGUCAACGGCCUGUGCUGAAGAGUUUGACGUUCCUGAAGCCCUCGUGAUGUUUACUCUGUCACGGACAAUCAGAGCCCGGCUUUAACACCUGUGGUGAUGGGAUCGUUUUAGCUGCGUAUGAAGAAAAAAAUCCCCAGCUCAACAGUGAAUAGAAUGAGACUGGACAAGCACCCCUGGCAAUCGCCCCUUCGUCUUUACCUGUUUUUUUUUUUUUUUUUUUUUGUAAACCAGGUAGGACGAUUGGCACAAAAUUCAACACAUUCUUCCCCUUUUCUAGUUCCCAGGUGUGUCCUAAUGCUUUAUUUUGAGAAGGCGUAAAUAGUUAUUUUUUUCAUCCCUAAUUUAGAUAUUUCAUGUUUUGAUGUUGGAUAUGGUAUAGAGGCUUCCUGUUGUUAGUGGUCUAGCAAUUAAUAACAUGUCUCGUGUGCUCAGUAUUGGAACACACAACACCAGCUAUAUUCAAGUCAAAAAUUGGAUGUAAGAAGGACAAGUUAAGCCGCACAGAGGACAGGCAAUGGGGACAUUUCAUUGCAUACCCGGAAGUGUUGUGUAUUUGGUGAGCAACUUACAUAUCCGUUUUGUCCCACAAUUAGCUAGACAAUCGAAUCCUCUGUCGCAUUUUCAUUUCAAACAAGAGAAUGAAAGCACAUCAAAUUCACGUCAGUUUAGUAAACUUGCGGAACAUGUUAAAUAGAAUAGGGGCACAAUGCACGUUUUAAACAGUCCACCUUCUUCGGACCGACUGACAUCUUAUUUAGACCCCUCCUGUCUCAGCCUCCAAUAUUUAUGCUGCAUUAGUUUAUGUGUCGGGGUGCUAGGGUCAGUUUGUUAUAUCUGGAGUACUUCUCCUGUCUUGUCCUGUGUGAAUUUAAGUAUGCUCUCUCUAAUUCUCUCUUUCUCUCUCUCUCGGAGGACCUGAUCCCUAGGACCAUGCCUCAGGACUACCUGGCAUGAUGACUCCUUGCUGUCCCCAGCCCACCUGGCCGUGCUGCUGCUCCAGUCUCAACUGUUCUGCCUACGGUUAUGGAAUCCUGACCUGUUCACCGGACGUGCUACCUGUCCCAGACCUAUUAUUUGACCAUGCUGGUCAUUUAUGAACAUUUGAACAUCUUGGCCAUGUUCUGUUAUAAUCUCCACCCGGCACAGCCAGAAGAGGACUGGUUUUGGCCUUUCUAGGGAGUUUUUCCUAGCCACCGUGCUUCUACACCUGCAUUGCUUGCUGUUUGGGGUUUUAGGCUGGGUUUCUGUGCAGCACUGAGCACUGAGAUAUCAGCUGAGCAGCUGAGAUAUCAGCUGAUAUACGAAGGGCUAUAUAAAUACAUUUGAUUUGAUUGAUUUAGCACAAGAUAUUUCCUUACAAUAUAAGAUUGAUAUAUGUAACCAAAUUGCAGAGCAACCUUUUUUCUUUUCUUUAAAAUGCAAUUUAAAUUGAAUGUAUGUGUUACUUUGCAGAUGUAUUUAAAUGGAAUAGAGAACAGGGCAAAUGUGGUGCAUGUUCACUAAACUCAGUCCGCCACCUUAA
Molecule: long non-coding RNA, 2409 nt
Organism: Oncorhynchus nerka (sockeye salmon)
Lineage: Eukaryota; Metazoa; Chordata; Actinopteri; Salmoniformes; Salmonidae
Exons: 2
Source: RefSeq, a predicted model, not a curated record